This is a long non-coding RNA of Dermochelys coriacea (leatherback sea turtle), 1210 nucleotides long. RefSeq lists it as uncharacterized. The transcript has 3 exons. NCBI's taxonomy places the organism in Eukaryota, Metazoa, Chordata, Testudines, Dermochelyidae. The record is from RefSeq and is a predicted model, not a curated record.
GCAGCCCUGGGGAAGGACUGUGUCCCUGAAGGGCUGAGGGAACCACUAGCACCCUGGACAGAGCAGUACUGGGCCAGGUCUGGGGAGUAAGAGGGAGCCCCAGCCUGACUGGCUGAAAGACUGAAGCCCAGAUACAGGGGCAGAGAAGGUGCUAGGGCUAUGGGGAAGUGGCCCAGGGAAACGGGGGUUGAAGGAGAUGCAGCAUGUGGGUGCCGCCUUAGAGGGUCCUUGGGCCGGGACCAGGAGUAGUGAGUGGGCCUGGGUCUCCUCUCCCUCUCGCUUCCACUUCCUACUGAGGAGAGUGGCCAGUAAAGGGCUGCAGUUUGCCUCUGAGGCAAGUGACUAGAACCUUGGGCUGCAGUUGGCCAUGGAGGCGAGUGGCUGGCCAGAGGACUGCCGCUCCCCUGGAAGCGGGAGAGUACAGAAUGGGGCACAGCCGGAAUGGGCUAUGUCCUGAAGAGGAUGCCGUGAUCCUUGAGGCAACAUGUGUCCGGAGCAGAAGUGGUGGCAGUGAGACACUACCAGAGGAGGGCACCUGUGAAAAGACUGAGCUAAUUCCCAGAACAACUAGCAGGUGGCACCAUGGUGUGUCAAACUAACUGAAGAAUAAAGAGUUUGCAAUGUGUAUCCUACAUUAUGAAUCCUGCUUUAGACAGCUCCUGUUGUAAACAGACCAGUUGCCCUACUCAAUUACAAGUGUUGUGGUGCCUUCUUAAGACCCGAGCCUGUCAAGUCAUGGAUGUCAGCAACUUUACUCAUGUGAGUUGUUCCAUUGACUACUUGCCUGAAUGAAGCUAUUCAUGUGCUUACGCCUUUGCAGGACUGGGCCCUUUAAAACUGUUCCACAGCAAAUGGCUUGUGUCUGAAUUGUUUGUCACGUAGUUAAACAGUGACUUAAACCUGAAAAGCUUUUUAGCCCCCCCCCAGUGGUGGAAAAUAUUAAAUCAAUGGUUUGUACUAAUAAUCUGGAAAUAAAAAUCUGAAGAAACUUUCCCCACCCCUUGUUCUACCGUAGCAGGCUGGAAUGACCUACUUUCUGUGCUUUGUCUUUUUUUAAAAAAAAAAAAAGCUUAAAAUUUUAAACAAAAAUUAAUCACUUGACUGCAGGCAAUGAGAUGUCUGUGUGUGAAGGGUGGCAACACAAGAGAAGUCCCAAGAUUGAACUGAGUCUGACCUUGAAUUGAAUAAACAUUGUUUGUUUUCUUGAUUU